GACGAACGCUGGCGGCGUGCCUAAUACAUGCAAGUUGAGCGCUGAAGGUUGGUACUUGUACCAACUGGAUGAGCAGCGAACGGGUGAGUAACGCGUGGGGAAUCUGCCUUUGAGCGGGGGACAACAUUUGGAAACGAAUGCUAAUACCGCAUAAAAACUUUAAACACAAGUUUUAAGUUUGAAAGAUGCAAUUGCAUCACUCAAAGAUGAUCCCGCGUUUUAUUAGCUAGGUGGUGAGGUAAAGGCUCACCAAGGCGAUGAUACAUAGCCGAGCUGAGAGGGUGAUCGGCCACAAUGGGACUGGGACACGGCCCAAACUCCUACGGGAGGCAGCAGUAGGGAAUCUUCGGAAAAGGACGAAAGUCUGACCGAGCAACGCCGCGGGAGUGAAGAAGGUUUUCGGAUCGUAAAACUCUGUUGGUAGAGAAGAACGUUGGUGAGGGUGGAAAGCUCAUCAAGUGACGGUAACUACACAGAAAGGGACGGCUAACUACGUG
This 497-nucleotide ribosomal RNA is filed under the name uncultured bacterium. Its description in RNAcentral is "partial 16S ribosomal RNA". It matches the Rfam family "Bacterial small subunit ribosomal RNA", at positions 28 to 507 of the family's 1533-position model. The record is from RNAcentral.